GGCGAGAUAGCUCAGUUGGUAGAGCACACGACUGAAAAUCGUGGUGUCCCCGGUUCGAGUCCGGGUCUCGCCAUCA
This 76-nucleotide transfer RNA is filed under the name uncultured Solirubrobacteraceae bacterium. RNAcentral's name for it is "tRNA-Phe-GAA". It matches the Rfam family "tRNA". From Rfam's summary of the family: Transfer RNA (tRNA) molecules are approximately 80 nucleotides in length. The record is from RNAcentral. Lineage: Bacteria; Bacillati; Actinomycetota; Thermoleophilia; Solirubrobacterales; Solirubrobacteraceae.